RNAcentral lists this unclassified non-coding RNA (3959 nucleotides) under Agrilus planipennis (emerald ash borer). RNAcentral describes it as "down syndrome cell adhesion molecule-like protein Dscam2, transcript variant X5". The record is from RNAcentral. Lineage: Eukaryota; Metazoa; Arthropoda; Insecta; Coleoptera; Buprestidae.
CGCUCUUAGUGUGGUGAUGGCAGCCUCUCGGUCAGGACUCGUCAUGGCACCACCAACGAUAAAGUCAACGGUGUUUUUACCGGUUGUCAUUCGCUUUUCUUCGCAGUUUUUCCGCGCUCCGGAAUAAAUUUUCGGCCGUUAGUAAUAAACGUUAGUUAUAAACGCAUUCGUUAACGAUCUUGCCGGUUUUCCGGUCGCAAAUCCCGAUAGCACACUCUAGAUAUACUCUUGUUCACACACAUGCAAACCUACAGGAUGAUUAUCUUGAUUGCAAUGAUACUACUCACCACAAAGGACGCUGUGGAGAGUUUCGAUUCGCACCUUCGCGGUCCAUCGUUUAUCAUGGAACCGCCGACACGUCUCGAAUUCUCCAACUCGUCCGGAGGCUGGCUAGAUUGUUCGGCUUCCGGCAGCCCACAGCCUUCGAUUGACUGGCUGUCGGUGGACGGCACUUCCGUCGGAGACGUUUCCGGCAUCCGCAGGGUGCUUCGGAACGGCACCUUGGUGUUACUUCCGUUCGCGGCCGCCGCAUACCGUCAAGACAUUCACAGCACCGUUUACCGCUGCGUCGCUUCCAACUCCGUUGGCAGGAUAAUCAGUCGUGAUGUCCAAGUUAGAGCCGUGGUGACUCAGGCAUACAAAGUAGAAGUGGAGGCUCUUGGAGCAGCAAGGGGUUGUACAGCAUUGCUGAAGUGUGUGGUGCCAUCGUUCGUAAAAGAGUUCGUACGGGUUGUAUCUUGGAUACAGGAACCAUCAUUCUAUAUCUACCCUUCGCUACAGGGAGAUGGAAAGUUUCAUCAACUGCCCUCCGGAGAUUUACUUAUUCAUAAUCUGGAGUUCAGCGAUCAAUUCGCAAUGUACCGCUGCAGAACGAUGCACAGGCUUAGUAGGCAAUAUACCGUCAGUGGACCUGCCAAUGUAAGAAUUACAGAGCACAGAGGCAUUGUGGCACCGGUGAUAGUCGAAAGCUCUGGAACGAUAACCGUCGCUCAAGAUGAGGGCGCCGCUUUGUUAUGUGUCGCACAAGGAUGCCCUGCGCCUGAAUACCGGUGGUACUCUCACACUGGUUUAGAACCUAGCCUAGUAAUGUCAGGUCCUCGAACACGUCAACUUGGUCCCGUUUUGGCUAUAGAAGCAGUAACCCCCGAAGAUAGUGGAUCUUAUCGGUGCAAAGCUUCAAAUGCAGGCGGUGAAGCGAGUGUGGAACUCAGAUUGAUUGUGUCUACUCCUCUACAUGUUGAAGUGACUCCACCGAUGCUCAGUAUUCACAUGGGAGGUAGUGCGGAAUUCCGGUGUUCCGUGUCGUCUCACAGUGGAGGUCCACAUUUGGUAACCUGGUAUAAAGAUGGUAGACAACUACCUAGUACUGGUAGAGGCUCUAGUGACACCUUGGUCAUUAAUAACAUCGGGAGAGAGGAUCGCGGAAUGUACCAGUGUGUUGUCAGAAGGGCUGAGGGCGACACCGCUCAAGCUGCUGCAGAAUUACAGUUAGGAGAUGCGCCACCUGUGUUACUAUACAGCUUUAUAGAACAAACACUCCAACCGGGACCUGCUGUUUCGCUUAAGUGUAGUGCUGCUGGGAAUCCAACUCCCCAAAUCUCUUGGACACUCGACGGAUUUCCAUUACCUAGCAAUGGCAGAUUUGUCAUUGGCCAAUACGUUACAGUUCACGGUGACGUCAUUAGCCAUGUUAACAUUAGCCAUGUAAUGAUCGAGGAUGGCGGCGAAUAUACUUGCACAGCUGAAAACAGAGCAGGAAAAACAUCACAUUCGGCAAGAUUGAAUGUUUACGGGAUGCCUUACAUUAGAUUGAUACCGAAGGUGACGGCAGUGGCUGGCGAAACACUUCAGCUGAAGUGUCCCGUUGCUGGAUAUCCAAUAGAAGAAAUUCACUGGGAGAGAGGCGGACGAGAACUUCCAGACGAUUUGCGACAAAAAGUUUUAGAAGACGGUACGCUCGUUAUCAGUCCGGUGGAAAAGAAAGCUGACUCUGGCGUAUAUACUUGUUGGGCUCGAAACAAGCAGGGACAUAGCGCAAGGAGAAGCGGAGAAGUCACAGUAAUAGUUCCUCCUAUUAUUGAGCCCUUUUCCUUCCAAGACGGGCUGUCGGAAGGCAUGCGAACUCGCACCGUCUGCGGCGUGAGUUCCGGGGAUCCACCACUCGUGGUCUCCUGGCUCAAGGACGGGCAGCCGCUGACACCCGCGCUGGCCGUAAACGUUUCGGCUCUUGACCCCUAUUCUAGUCUCCUCAGCAUUUCUAGUUUAGACUCGAGACAUUCUGGCGAUUUCACGUGCGUGGCCAGCAACCCAGCCGCCGAGGUCAGGUACACCGCCAAACUCCAGGUUAAAGUUCCGCCGAGGUGGCUGGUCGAACCUGCUGACGUGAGCGUUGAAAGGAAUCACAACAUCGCGUUACACUGUCAAGCGCAGGGCGUGCCCACACCCACUGUUACAUGGAAAAAAGCCACAGGUAGUAAGUCAGGAGACUACGAGGAAAUAAGAGACCAAAUUCACACCAAACUACUGGGAAAUGGGACCCUUUUGCUUCAACACGUGAAAGAAGACAGGGAAGGAUUCUACUUAUGCCAAGCAGAAAAUGGUAUCGGCACUGGCAUUGGGAAAGUCAUUCAACUACGAGUAAAUUCGUCCCCGUACUUUUCCCAGCCGUCUCGACUAAUAACUGUCAAAAAAGGGGACACGGCGACGUUACACUGCGACGUGAACGGCGAUAAACCCAUUAGCGUAAUUUGGUUAAAAGGCGGCAAGAGCGAAUUAAAUCCAUCGAACAACUACCGUGUGCACGUAAAACAGGACGGAACGCCCGAUGGCGUUGUGGCACAGCUUCAAAUCGCCAAUGCUGAAGCUUCGGACAGCGGCUCGUACUUCUGCCAAGCAAGCAACAUGUAUGGAAGAGACCAGCAAUUGGUACAGCUAUUAGUUCAAGAGCCUCCUCUUAGUCCUCAACAUCUGGAGGCAGCGAUGACCACCAGUCGAUCGGUCAAUCUGAAGUGGCAGCACAGAUCCGGAGAUUCGAAUGAAGUCUUCAAAUUUAUUGUGGAAUAUCGUGAAGUUGAUAGACCCUGGCAUCAUAUUGAAAUAUCAGAUAAUCCGCUACAAUAUGCUGCCCUUAUCGAAAAUCUAAAGCCUGCAACUCGUUACAUUUUUCGAGUAAUCGCAGAAGGUCCAGCAGGAAGAAGUAAACCGAGCGUUGAGCUAGUUAUAAGAACGGAAUCGCAAAGACCAGCAGGUCCUCCGUUAAACCUCGCUGUCCGACCCAUUUCAUCCACGGAAUUACUAAUCACUUGGAAUCCUCCCAUCAGCGAACUUCGGCAUGGAGAUAUUCAGGGAUAUAAUGUCGGUUUCAGAUCUCCAAAGAUGCAAGCGUAUAAUUACACCACAGUUUCGGGAGACGGUGAAGAUGGCACUGGAGAAUUGUUACUUGGUGGACUGUCUAAAUAUACCAAUUAUGCUAUUGUGGUACAAGCAUUUAAUGAAGUCGGACCUGGUCCGCUUACUGAACCAGCUUCAUCGCAGACCAUGGAAGAUGUUCCUAGUGCUCCUCCGGAAGAUGUCCGAUGUGCUGCUCUUACAUCUCAAUCUCUCCAAAUUAGUUGGCAACCACCACCAAUCGAACAUUGUAACGGUUUGUUAGAAGGGUACAAGUUAACCUACGAACCAGUAGUUGAUGAUAACUGGAGAGGUACUUUUAGGAACGGACGAUAUAGAGACCAGAAAAACUACAGCACUCACUACAGUCAUAACAGGUCUCAGGAAGUUCACGAACUACAGUCUACAAGUUCUAGCGUUUACUAAAGUGGGAGAUGGUGUUUCAACUGAGACAUUUUAUUGCAAAACCGAAGAAGAUGUGCCUGGUCCUCCGAUCGAUAUCAAAGUGAUAGUCAGUUCUCCGCAAGCGCUUCUGAUAUCCUGGUUACCUCCUCAAGAGCCAAAUGGAAUUA